RNAcentral lists this transfer RNA (69 nucleotides) under Podarcis lilfordi (Lilford's wall lizard). Its description in RNAcentral is "tRNA.Lys". The record is from RNAcentral. Lineage: Eukaryota; Metazoa; Chordata; Lepidosauria; Squamata; Lacertidae.
ACCCAGCUUAGUUGGUAGAGCAUGAGACUCUUAAUAUCAGGAUUGUGGUUUUGAGCCCCACAUUGGGCA